GACGUAGGGGGCAAGCGUUGUCCGGAAUCAUUGGGCGUAAAGCGCUCGUAGGCGGAUCGGUAAGUCUGCGACGAAAGACCCGGGCUCAACUCGGGGAACGGUGUGGAUACUACCGAUCUUGAGGCAAUCAGAGGAUGAUGGAAUUCCCGGCGUAGCGGUGAAAUGCGUAGAUAUCGGGAGGAACACCAGUGGCGAAGGCGAUCAUCUGGGGUUGUUCUGACACUGAGGAGCGAAAGCUAGGGGAGCAAACGGG
This 253-nucleotide ribosomal RNA is filed under the name uncultured bacterium. RNAcentral describes it as "partial 16S ribosomal RNA". It matches the Rfam family "Bacterial small subunit ribosomal RNA", at positions 524 to 776 of the family's 1533-position model. The record is from RNAcentral.